Canis lupus familiaris (dog) is the source of this 123-nucleotide non-coding RNA. NCBI's taxonomy places the organism in Eukaryota, Metazoa, Chordata, Mammalia, Carnivora, Canidae. The record is from Rfam.
ACGGUGAAGCCGGGAAAACAGCGGCUAGUUCGGGAGGGAGGAAAACUCCUAGGGCCUGCACGUACCCCGACCGGGGAAUCCUGGAGCCCAGUUUGGUGGGUGAGCGGUAGGGAGGAUUGGGGG